GUGUGUGUGUGUGUGUGUGUCUGUGUGUGUCUCUGUAUGUAUGUGUCUGUACCAUACAGACACAUACAUACAGAGACACACAUACAUACAGAGACACACACAGACACAUACACA
Molecule: non-coding RNA, 114 nt
Organism: Pelobates cultripes (western spadefoot toad)
Lineage: Eukaryota; Metazoa; Chordata; Amphibia; Anura; Pelobatidae
Source: the annotation of a GenBank genome assembly